This is a non-coding RNA of Dothidotthia symphoricarpi CBS 119687, 137 nucleotides long. Lineage: Eukaryota; Fungi; Ascomycota; Dothideomycetes; Pleosporales; Dothidotthiaceae. The record is from the annotation of a RefSeq genome assembly.
GGGCCGGUAACUCAGUGGUAGAGGUUAGUUCACUCAUUCACUCACUCAUCAAUUGUCACUAACAGCAUCACAGUGUAGGACUGCAGCUCACCAAAGCCGUCUUCCCGAAGUCACCGGUUCGACUCCGGUUCGGCCCU